Molecule: long non-coding RNA, 1487 nt
Organism: Diorhabda carinulata
Lineage: Eukaryota; Metazoa; Arthropoda; Insecta; Coleoptera; Chrysomelidae
Exons: 2
Source: RefSeq, a predicted model, not a curated record
UUCUCUGUAUCAGCAUUGUUAGGAGAUGAGCAAUUUGCGUAUAAAACGAUUUGUUAUUUAGGAUCCAUGUGAUAGCAAACGUCAAAUCGCUAGUUAGAUUUUAUAAAAUACAAGAAAUGACGGUUCGGUUAAGUAAUGAGGAAAAAAUUGAAAUAAUGUUGAUUGUGGGAAAUAAAUAUAAGACUCAUCGAGAAGCAGCAGCUAUAUUUAACAACAGACAGUUUCAAAAAUUAUAAAUAGAUUUAAGGCGUCUGAAAGUAUUCACAAUAAUUUUAAUAAAAAACGCCAGAAGAGGGUUGCCAGUGAGGACACGCAAUUACAAGUGAUGUUAUCUGUAGUAGAACACCCUAAAUGUCAUUGAGAAAAAUAAUGUCUUUGAUUUGAAAUGAAUUUUAGCUGAUGCCGCAGACCCUUUUCUAUUGGAGUUUGUGAAUUCAAUGUUGUCAGCGAGUCUGUGCCCAACAGGUGUGAUAAAGACAUAGCUGUCAAGCCUACUAGACAAUACCCUACAUCGUUUACUGCUUUUGGGCAGGCUUACAUCAGGGGAUGCCAGGCACCCCCGUCAAUCCGCCCAUGAAAAUUACUCAGAAGAGAUACUUAAAAUUUCUAUUGCCUACUUUUUUGAUAGAAGAUGGUUUUGUAUGGUAUUGCUGAAUGGUUGACUAUAAUUUUUUCUUUUAAGUACAGAAUUUGUGAAAAAAACGCCUGUUUAUGGGUUUAAAACUUUUUCAAACAUAUUUUAAAUGUGUAAACGUUUAGAAGAAAACAUUCAUGACCUAUAAUAACUAAAAACUAAAAUGAAACAUAUAACAUUAUUUGGUUACUUACCUUAAUCACACUUUUUUAAUAAAUAAAACAAAUAGUAGAUAGACCAUGCACUAAAUCUAAGCUUCACUUUAAAAAUGAAUUUUGUAAAAAACAUGAGACCCUAAAAGCUUCAGGGGAAUCCCAAAACCAGUGUCAAUAUUAACCAUAGAUAUGUGAGCUCAUAAGAUUUCAGUUACCAUUGGAUGAUUUGAUUUUAGACAUCAGUUAGAAGGUUUUUGAGCUAUAUUAAUACCAACUUUGAAAUGUUGGGUUAGAUCACUCAAAAUUAAUGGAAAUUGAAAAAAUACGACAAAUAAUAUACUUAAAACUAUUUUAUUUCUUUUAUUUAUUAAAAAAAAAGUGUACAAGAACUAUCUGUUCUUCAACGCCUUCUCGAUGUUUAUUUCCUUCAUAAAUAUUACCAUCUUUUGCCUCCUCCUCCGCCUCUUCCAAAUCCUCCAGAGUUUCUAUUAAAAUUACCUCCACCACUAUUUCUUUUAAAUCCACUACCAAAACUUCUGUCACCUCCUCCUCCUCUUCUAUCACCACCGCCAAAACCGCCUCUUCCCCUAUUACCAAAACUUCCUCUACCUCCUCGUCCGCCACCACGACCACCACCGCCGCCACGUUUUUUAUUACCACUUGACGCACCAGGCAAAAACCUUUGAAGUGGCAGUAGU